CGAGCAAAAUCCUUCAACCCUUCUAAACAGACAGAUGUCGCUUUUCUGCCGGUCCCUGCAGUACACCUGUCUGCCCUGGAAAGUACAUUUCUCAGCUGCAGCCCCGCGAGGCCAAGAGCUUGAAGCUGGGUCUUGUGGUUGGGGCUGCAGGUGCUGGGCCUAAGGAGCAUGAAGGGAUGCCCAAGGUUGGGGGGGCGGUCCGAGGUUUGGAGGGCAGACCUCUUGAAGGCGGACGGCAGCCACCAACCACAUCCUGGCUCCCGCACAGACACACCCCCGGGGGGUCGGUGCCGCAGCCCCCAGCCCCUCCUGGGGUAGCCAGCAGCGCCCGCCGGCCACCGGCCACAGGAGAAAGUAAACAACACCCCAAGUGUCCGGGAACAAAGGCAAGUUGUCUUCCUACGGUGCCGGAGCCGUGUGCCUCUUCUGAAGAAUAAGAGCUAUUAUUAUUCUUUAUGUCUUACCCUUUUUUUUUUUUUUUUAGCCAAGUUUCCUUCUAAGGGAAAUAAACACCAAAGGUAGGAUUCCAAGGAAAUGACUCACGGCGGCUGGCAGGGCUCUGGCGGGGCUGGCCCGAGCCCCCGCGCUCCAGCCCGCAGCAGAAGCCGGCGCGGCCCUCCCUCCCUCCCCAGCCAAACAGGCUGGAAGCCCGCGGCUGCCGGAGCGCCCUGCGCCCGUGGGACCUGGCAGCGAGGAGGCCUCUUCCCUGCCUCUGCGGCCGCAGCCGGGCACUCGGAAAGUUGCUAGGGCCGAAGAGGCGGGAGGGGAGGAAGGGAGGAGAGAGGCGGAGGCGUGGACCAGGCGGGCAGCAGCCUCAGCCCGCCGGGGAGUGAUCCUCCGACUGUGAAAAACCAAACCGCUGGCUGCCUGGCUCCCUAGGAAUCAAGAAGCCGCACAGACUGAAAAUCAAGGGAGGAAGGAACAAGAUCAAGGAUGGGGAUUACCAUCUGCAAAUUGAACUCUAUCUAAUUUGCAUGUUUAUUUCUUAGAAUUGUAAUUAAAUUUGUGUAAUAAAUGUUUCCAUUUCAUUUGUACACUUAAAACUUGGGUGACUGACAUGCAGUUAAGUGAAAUUCCUUUUUUUUUUUUUAAGCAAAUGUAGUUUAUUCAAUAAAGCACCAAACCAAUAUUAAACAUAAUUAGAACUAA
Molecule: RNA transcript, 1149 nt
Organism: Sapajus apella (tufted capuchin)
Lineage: Eukaryota; Metazoa; Chordata; Mammalia; Primates; Cebidae
Gene name: basic salivary proline-rich protein 1-like
Exons: 2
Source: RefSeq, a predicted model, not a curated record